Long non-coding RNA from Chenopodium quinoa (quinoa), 564 nucleotides. RefSeq lists it as uncharacterized. The record is from RefSeq and is a predicted model, not a curated record. The transcript is spliced from 2 exons. NCBI's taxonomy places the organism in Eukaryota, Viridiplantae, Streptophyta, Magnoliopsida, Caryophyllales, Amaranthaceae.
AACAUAGUGUAGUUAAUUCACCAACAAUACAAGCCACAAACACACAACAUACUUCAUACUUAAAACACAAAGGUAAACAACUCUUCAUAACAAAAACAAUGGAAACCAAGGUUGGGUUCAAGAGAAUCAUAGUAGCACUCUUUUUCAUCCUUGCAACAGUGAUGCUGCAAGUCCUUGCUGUGAAAGCUCAACAAGAGAAUCCAGUGUGCGAAGAGCACCUUGGACAUCCAUGCACUCCUGGUGUUAGAGAAUGUUGUGCUAACACUGGACGCCAAUGCGUAUCCGCACCAUCUUUGAACGGUUUCCGGUGUAUGUAAAACCGUCAUCGAUCACCACCACCUGCAACAUUAACGACAACCUAGUCUACUGUUUUAUUAUAAUGUCUUUCUUUUUAGUUAAUCGUACUUUACUUAAGGUUGAUAUUUAUAUUAGCCUAUUUAAGUGUUUCUGUAUGUACUUUGAUUUCUUGUUGGGUGGUGAGUUUCUGGUCUAUCUUUGCCAAUGAUGGUAUGGAUAAAAAUGGUUGUCUUGUGCUAUAAAUAAAGAUUAUCAUUUUCUAUUUUC